GGCGAACGGGUGAGUAAUAUAUCGGAACGUACCCUGGAGUGGGGGAUAACGUAGCGAAAGUUACGCUAAUACCGCAUACGAUCUAAGGAUGAAAGUGGGGGCUUCGCAAGAACCUCAUGCUCCUGGAGCGGCCGAUAUCUGAUUAGCUAGUUGGUGGGGUAAAGGCCUACCAAGGCAUCGAUCAGUAGCUGGUCUGAGAGGACGACCAGCCACACUGGAACUGAGACACGGUCCAGACUCCUACGGGAGGCAGCAGUGGGGAAUUUUGGACAAUGGGCGAAAGCCUGAUCCAGCAAUGCCGCGUGAGUGAAGAAGGCCUUCGGGUUGUAAAGCUCUUUUGUCAGGGAAGAAACGGUGAGGGCUAAUAUCCCUUGCUAAUGACGGUACCUGAAGAAUAAGCACCGGCUAACUACGUGCCAGCAGCCGCGGUAAUACGUAGGGUGCAAGCGUUAAUCGGAAUUACUGGGCGUAAAGCGUGCGCAGGCGGUUUUGUAAGUCUGUCGUGAAAUCCCCGGGCUCAACCUGGGAAUUGCGAUGGAGACUGCAAGGCUAGAAUCUGGCAGAGGGGGGUAGAAUUCCACGUGUAGCAGU
This 591-nucleotide ribosomal RNA is filed under the name Rugamonas sp. r1. RNAcentral describes it as "bacterial SSU rRNA". It matches the Rfam family "Bacterial small subunit ribosomal RNA", at positions 97 to 682 of the family's 1533-position model. Lineage: Bacteria; Pseudomonadati; Pseudomonadota; Betaproteobacteria; Burkholderiales; Oxalobacteraceae. The record is from RNAcentral.